This 366-nucleotide ribosomal RNA is filed under the name Hespera obesula. RNAcentral describes it as "partial 16S ribosomal RNA". Lineage: Eukaryota; Metazoa; Arthropoda; Insecta; Coleoptera; Chrysomelidae. The record is from RNAcentral.
UUAAAUGGCCGCGGUAUUUUGACCGUGCUAAGGUAGCAUAAUCAUUAGUUUUUUAAUUGAAAGCUGGAAUGAAGGGUUGGAUGAAAGAAAAGCUGUCUCUAUUAAAUUAUUAUUGAAUUUUAUUUUUAAGUUCAAAAGCUUAAAUAAAAUUAAAAGACGAGAAGACCCUUUAGAGUUUAAUAAAUUUAUUUUUAUUUUUAUUUAGAAUUAAAUUAAUAAUAGAAAUUAAUAUAUUUGGUUGGGGUGAUUAAAAAAUUUAAUAAACUUUUUUUUAUUUUUAUAUGAAUUAAUAAAUAUUUGAUCCAAAAAUUUUGAUUAUAAGAUAAAAUUACCUUAGGGAUAACAGCGUAAUUUUAUUUGAGAGUU